Molecule: long non-coding RNA, 1918 nt
Organism: Patiria miniata (bat star)
Lineage: Eukaryota; Metazoa; Echinodermata; Asteroidea; Valvatida; Asterinidae
Exons: 2
Source: RefSeq, a predicted model, not a curated record
AUACAGACAUACAGAAGUGAAAUCAAAAAAAGAUGAUCCAAGGAGAACCCUGACAAGACCAAGAAAUACAAGACCAAUUUUACAUGGACAUGGCUUGGACUAGACUGGUUCCUAGACACAGAAGUGAUGGGUGCGGACCAAGUACAUUUGAUUUGUUUGGAUUAAGUUUAAGAGUUGAUAUUUUUCUUUUCAAAUUAUUUUGUUUUAAUUUCCAAGUUGUUAAGCUAUUUCUUUAUUUCUGUGUCAAUGUUUUGUUCAUGUUUAUAUCAAUAUUGAUUUGAAAUCUACUCUCUUUAAUUUCCAAAGAGUGAAAAUUUGCUCAGUUUUUUACAAAGUGAAAAUGCGCUCCCAAGGACUGAAACUAAGAGCCGGACGAUUUAGAGUGAAAUUCAUUAAAUGAAAUACGUGUGGGCUGGAUUUUACUCUUAUUUCCAUUGAAUUAAUUCUUUUUUCAGAGUAUUCAAAUAUAAAAUGUGAAAUUUUUGCUCUAAUUUGGCUGCAACAGUGGCGUAGCCAGGAUUUUUUUCAUGGGGGGGGGGGCCUAGCAUGUUAUGAAGGGGCACCAAGGGCAGACCCAACAACAACAUUUCCCCCAAAUUUCCAGGCCGCCGCAAAGUGCUGCAAACUUUGUAAACAUUCAAUUUGUUAACAUUUCAUUCAUACUACAUUUUGUUCCUUGGCAAGCGGCACAUUUCGGAUGGGGGGAACAUCUGGGGGGGGGGGGCCACUGGGAAUUUGUAAGGGGGGCACGCCCUCUCGGCCCUUGACUCAGUACACCACUGGUCUGCAGGUUCACUGUUAGGAAAUUAGUAUGCAGAGCCCAAUUGUAUAUUCAACUCUGGCAAAAUUACAUUUUAGAGUAAAAAAAAAUAUGAAAUGGAUUGAAAUGAAAUGGUCAUUAACUGAAGUGUAUUGUGCCUCUCACAUAAUUAUGUGUAGAUGUACACUUUACUGCAAAAACUAGACACACCACUAUGUUCCUCUCACAUACGGUAUGUGUAGAAGUACACUGUACAAUGUACUGCAAAAACUAGACACCAAAUUAUCUGCAAACCGUCCAACCGUUAAAAAGUUUCCAAAAUUAUAUUGCAGGGGCAACCUGUAUUAUUUUCCACACAUAAGUUUGUUUACUUAUUCUCUAUGCAACACUUGCCAGGUGAAUGGCAAGAAUUUUUAUGACUUUUCCCAGCCUUCACAAAUUCAGCUUUUUUUAAUAGCAAGUAUCUUGAUUAAGGUGUGUGACCUUGACCUGCCCGUCCCGGUCCGGUGCUCACCAGAGUACAGAUUGUUUUGUUUGGCGAGAAAAAGAAGAGAGAGUUCGUAGAACCUUUCCCUUUAAAUUAAAGCCCUACCCAUGCCGCGCCAGCAGCCCGACCGACCCGGCCCUAGUUCCCUGGGCAUGGGAUGCAGUUCGCAGCUAGGUGUCUGGAAUUGCGAUUUGACUUCUGCAUAUAUUAACCAUACUCAUGUACACCUGCUGUGCAGACUGCAUGUACAUAGCUGGCCCGUUAGAUUUGCAUUGCAUAGACAGGCUCGAUCGAUCGAGUCCAACCAAAGUACUGAAUAUAUACGUUUGUGUAACAGCUCCAGUGUAAUGCAUUUGGUUUUUCAUGGUUUUUUUUCUCUUCAAUGGCGCCAUGUUUUCAGCCUCCACCCAGUAAUAUUUUGUGGCGCUCCACAAAUCUGCAAGUAACAGAACACACCUUUUUUUCACACCUUUCACAUUUUAACAGAGAUUUUGAUUAUUUUUUAUGUUUAUAGUUUAAUUUGACUGGCCUCAUUUUUUAGUGAACUUUAUCCUUUGUUUUUACGGUAAAAUUGUGCAAUACAAAAAAAUUACAAGUAGCUUGUUUAAUUUGUUGCGAAAGACAUACCAAUCAGAAAUAAAGAUUCUGCAAAAGGAUUGUUAAUUACCAUU